CGCGGCCUAUCAGCUUGUUGGUGAGGUAAUGGCUCACCAAGGCGACGACGGAUAGCCGGCCUGAGAGGGUGACCGGCCACACUGGGACUGAGACACGGCCCAGACUCCUACGGGAGGCAGCAGUGGGGAAUAUUGCACAAUGGGCGAAAGCCUGAUGCAGCGACGCCGCGUGAGGGAUGACGGCCUUCGGGUUGUAAACCUCUUUCAGUAGGGAAGAAGCCCCUUUUGGGGGUGACGGUACUUGCAGAAGAAGCGCCGGCUAACUACGUGCCAGCAGCCGCGGUAAUACGUAGGGCGCAAGCGUUAUCCGGAAUUAUUGGGCGUAAAGAGCUCGUAGGCGGUUUGUCGCGUCUGCCGUGAAAGUCCGAGGCUCAACCUCGGAUCUGCGGUGGGUACGGGCAGACUAGGGUGAUGUAGGGGAGACUGGAAUUCCUGGUGUAGCGGUGAAAUGCGCAGAUAUCAGGAGGAACACCGAUGGCGAAGGCAGGUCUCUGGGCAUUUACUGACGCUGAGGAGCGAAAGCAUGGGGAGCGAACAGGAUUAGAUACCCUGGUAGUCCAUGCCGUAAACGUUGGGCACUAGGUGUGGGGGACAUUCCACGUU
RNAcentral lists this ribosomal RNA (603 nucleotides) under uncultured bacterium. RNAcentral's name for it is "bacterial SSU rRNA". It matches the Rfam family "Bacterial small subunit ribosomal RNA", at positions 232 to 838 of the family's 1533-position model. The record is from RNAcentral.